AGCGAACGCUGGCGGCGUGCUUAACACAUGCAAGUCGAACGUGAAAGGGAGCAAUCCUGAGUAAAGUGGCGUACGGGUGAGUAACGCGUAGGUAAUCUACCCUAGAAUCUGGAAUAACCUGACGAAAGUCGGGCUAAUACUGGAUAGAGCGACGGAAUCCGUAAUUGGGUUUUUCGGGAAAGGGAGCUCGCAAGAGCCUUCGUUCUAGGAUGAGCCUGCGUCCCAUUAGCUAGUUGGCGAGGUAAUAGCUCACCAAGGCAUUGAUGGGUAGCUGGUCUGAGAGGAUGAUCAGCCACACUGGAACUGAAACACGGUCCAGACUCCUACGGGUGGCUG
This 336-nucleotide ribosomal RNA is filed under the name uncultured Pseudomonadota bacterium. Its description in RNAcentral is "bacterial SSU rRNA". It matches the Rfam family "Bacterial small subunit ribosomal RNA", at positions 29 to 351 of the family's 1533-position model. Lineage: Bacteria; Pseudomonadati; Pseudomonadota. The record is from RNAcentral.